Molecule: ribosomal RNA, 154 nt
Filed under: Ipomoea nil (Japanese morning glory)
Lineage: Eukaryota; Viridiplantae; Streptophyta; Magnoliopsida; Solanales; Convolvulaceae
Description: 5.8S ribosomal RNA
Rfam family: 5.8S ribosomal RNA
About the family: 5.8S ribosomal RNA (5.8S rRNA) is a component of the large subunit of the eukaryotic ribosome. It is transcribed by RNA polymerase I as part of the 45S precursor that also contains 18S and 28S rRNA. Functionally, it is thought that 5.8S rRNA may be involved in ribosome translocation.
Source: Rfam by way of RNAcentral
GACUCUCGCAACGGAUAUCUCGGCUCUCGCAUCGAUGAAGAACGUAGCGAAAUGCGAUACUUGGUGUGAAUUGCAGAAUCCCGUGACCAUCGAGUCUUUGAACGCAAGUUGCGCCCGAAGCCGUUAGGCCGAGGGCACGCCUGCCUGGGCGUCA